AGUGAACGCUGGCGGCAUGCCUAACACAUGCAAGUCGGACGGGAACUGAUGUUUCCCGUGGCGGUCGGGUGAGCGACGCGCAAAAAGCUGACCUUGGGAGGGGAACAACAGCUGGAGAGGGCUGCUAAUACGCCGUAGGCUGAGUAGUACCGGGUGCAAGCUGCGCGAGGAGGGGCUGGCGUCUGAUUAGCUAGUUGGUGAGGCAAUAGCUUACCAAGGCGAUGAUCAGUAGAUGUUACGAGAGGAUGAUCAUCCACACUGGGACUGGGGCACGGAGCAGACACCUACGGAAGGCAGCAGUGGGGAAUUUGCCGCAAUGGGCGAAAGCCGAACAGGGCAUUGCCGUGUUAAAGUAGAUGUCCCACGAAUGAAAAACUGCUUGUCCCUGAGAAGAUGCAAUGACGGUACCUAAAGAAUAAGCAUCGGCUAACUCCGUG
Molecule: ribosomal RNA, 437 nt
Filed under: uncultured bacterium
Lineage: Bacteria
Description: partial 16S ribosomal RNA
Rfam family: Bacterial small subunit ribosomal RNA
Source: RNAcentral